RNAcentral lists this ribosomal RNA (272 nucleotides) under uncultured prokaryote. RNAcentral's name for it is "partial 16S ribosomal RNA". It matches the Rfam family "Bacterial small subunit ribosomal RNA", at positions 524 to 795 of the family's 1533-position model. The record is from RNAcentral.
UACGGAGGAUCCGAGCGUUAUCCGGAUUUAUUGGGUUUAAAGGGUGCGCAGGCGGGAGAUUAAGUCGGCGGUGAAAUUUUGCAGCUCAACUGUAAAAGUGCCUUCGAAACUGGUUUCCUUGAGUGUAGAUGAAGUAGGCGGAAUUUGUGGUGUAGCGGUGAAAUGCAUAGAUAUCACGAGGAACUCCGAUUGCGCAGGCAGCUUACUAAACCACUACUGACGCUCAGGCACGAAGGCGUGGGGAUCAAACAGGAUUAGAUACCCCCGUAGUU